Molecule: transfer RNA, 61 nt
Filed under: Carinata rufipenna
Lineage: Eukaryota; Metazoa; Arthropoda; Insecta; Hemiptera; Cicadellidae
Also listed under: 1 other name
Description: tRNA-Cys
Source: RNAcentral
GGUCUUAUAAUUUAAUAAAAAUAUGAAAUUGCAAGUUUUAAAUUGGUAAUUCCUAAGACUU